UCAUAUAUACGUGUUUUGCCUAAUAUUUUUUUUGAAAUUAAUUGUUUUAUACGAGCUGCGACUACGAACACAUAAAUAUUUGCCUCCCCUCAAUCAUUGACGUUCUGGCGUCCCUGUAUUAGAGAAAAAACAGAAAAGUAUGAGACAGAAGAAGUUAUGUACAGCUCAUAAGAAACGAGCAUGUCAAUGCUUGAUUUAGUGUGUCUGUGCAAUCACGAAAUGAAAUUCCUGGGAGAAACUUAAAACGUCGACAGCUGGCUUAUAUACGUUAUGGGAACAAUUUAAUGUGUCUAGCAAUUGAAGUUUACUUAAUGAUGAUUUAUGUUUAUAAAAUUAUAGAUUUUACACAAGAUGAAU
Xenia sp. Carnegie-2017 is the source of this 357-nucleotide long non-coding RNA. RefSeq lists it as uncharacterized. The record is from RefSeq and is a predicted model, not a curated record. Lineage: Eukaryota; Metazoa; Cnidaria; Anthozoa; Malacalcyonacea; Xeniidae. The transcript has 2 exons.